AGUGAACGCUGGCGGCAGGCCUAAUACAUGCAAGUCGAGCGAACAGACGAGGAGCUUGCUCCUCUGCCGUUAGCGGCGGGCGGACGAGUAACAAGUGGAUAACCAACCUCUAAGACGUGGGUAACAUCGGGGAGAAGGUGCUACUACCGGAUAAUAUAUUCUACCGGAUGGAUCAAUAGUGCAUGACGGUUUUGCUGUCACUUAGAGCUGGAUCCGCGCCGCAUUAGCGAGUGGGUAAGGUAACGGCUAACCAAGGCAACGAUGCGUAGCCGACCUGAGAGGAUGAUCGGCCACACUGGAACUGAGACACGGUCCAGACUCCUACGGGAGGCAGCAGUAGGGAAUCUUCCGCAAAGGGCGAAAGCUUGACGGAGCAACGCCGCGUGAGUGAUGAAGGCCUUCGGAUCGUAAAACCCUGUUAUUAGGAAAGAAAAAAUGUGUAUGUAACUACGCACGUCUUGACGGUACCUAAACAGAAAGCCACGGCUAACUUCGUG
This 497-nucleotide ribosomal RNA is filed under the name uncultured bacterium. RNAcentral describes it as "partial 16S ribosomal RNA". It matches the Rfam family "Bacterial small subunit ribosomal RNA", at positions 29 to 507 of the family's 1533-position model. The record is from RNAcentral.